RNAcentral lists this transfer RNA (74 nucleotides) under Thermoleophilia bacterium. RNAcentral describes it as "tRNA-Gln". It matches the Rfam family "tRNA". From Rfam's summary of the family: Transfer RNA (tRNA) molecules are approximately 80 nucleotides in length. Their secondary structure includes four short double-helical elements and three loops (D, anti-codon, and T loops). Lineage: Bacteria; Bacillati; Actinomycetota; Thermoleophilia. RNAcentral also lists the same sequence under 1 other name. The record is from RNAcentral.
UGCGGGAUCGUCUAGCGGUAGGACACGCGGCUCUGGACCGUGGAACCGAGGUUCGAAUCCUCGUCCCGCAGCCA